GAUGAACGCUAGCUACAGGCUUAACACAUGCAAGUCGAGGGGAAACGAUAGAGAAAGCUUGCUUUUUCUAGGCGUCGACCGGCGCACGGGUGAGUAACGCGUAUCCAACCUGCCCAUCACUUGGGGAUAACCUUGCGAAAGUAAGACUAAUACCCAAUGACGUCUCUAGAAGACAUCUGAAAGAGAUUAAAGAUUUAUCGGUGAUGGAUGGGGAUGCGUCUGAUUAGCUUGUUGGCGGGGUAACGGCCCACCAAGGCGACGAUCAGUAGGGGUUCUGAGAGGAAGGUCCCCCACAUUGGAACUGAGACACGGUCCAAACUCCUACGGGAGGCAGCAGUGAGGAAUAUUGGUCAAUGGACGAGAGUCUGAACCAGCCAAGUAGCGUGCAGGAUGACGGCCCUAUGGGUUGUAAACUGCUUUUAUAAGGGAAUAAAGUGAGUCUCGU
RNAcentral lists this ribosomal RNA (445 nucleotides) under uncultured bacterium. RNAcentral's name for it is "bacterial SSU rRNA". It matches the Rfam family "Bacterial small subunit ribosomal RNA", at positions 28 to 461 of the family's 1533-position model. The record is from RNAcentral.